GGAGUUUUAGCUCAGUGGUAGAGUGCUUGCCUGGUACGUGUGAGGCUCUGGGUUUGAUUCUCAGCACCA
Molecule: transfer RNA, 69 nt
Filed under: Ictidomys tridecemlineatus (thirteen-lined ground squirrel)
Lineage: Eukaryota; Metazoa; Chordata; Mammalia; Rodentia; Sciuridae
Description: Spermophilus tridecemlineatus (thirteen-lined ground squirrel) tRNA
Rfam family: tRNA
About the family: Transfer RNA (tRNA) molecules are approximately 80 nucleotides in length. Their secondary structure includes four short double-helical elements and three loops (D, anti-codon, and T loops).
Source: Rfam by way of RNAcentral